This 462-nucleotide long non-coding RNA is filed under the name Androctonus crassicauda. The record is from RNAcentral. Lineage: Eukaryota; Metazoa; Arthropoda; Arachnida; Scorpiones; Buthidae.
CUGUCACAAACAUUAGAUUGCAAGCAACACCGUUGCUUAGUUUGCUCUCGGCCUAAUGCUCUUUUAUCUUCUGGUAGUACGGAUAGUUCCCAUGUUUCGUUUUUGUUGAGGGAAUUUAUUUCGUUUUCCAUGGCUGUUUUCCACUUUUCUGCAUCUGGUCUCGGAGCUUCUGUCAUUGUUGUUGGGUCUGUAAUCUUAUCUACAAAAUUUGCUAUUUUUAUGUAUCUCUUUAGUGCAAUUCCUUUAUUUUUUCUAUUGGCGCUUCCUGUAUUACAUGGCAUUUCUAUUUCUUGUUCUUGCUCCUUCAUAUCACCGUUUUCUUCGGAUUCUUCAGUAUAUUUCAUCGUCUGUGACAGGUAUGCAGACAGUUUUCAUUGUGCCAGCAUUUGACAGUUUUCAUUGUGACAGCAUUUCAUUGUGUGUUCAUUGUGUUUUCAUUGUGUUAGUGAAGCUAUUAAAGCC